GAAGGAGUCUAACACAUGUGCGAGCGAAUGACAUUCCAAAUGUCACAGGCGUACGCGAAAGCAAAGUUGGCUGUAUCGGCCGAUGCUGGAGGAUCCCGUAGCGUGUUUCGCUGCGGGCGCACUCUGGAGGUGUCCUAACAACCUGGUACUUGCAGGGCUUGCUCUGCAGGCGUUGGGUGGGAUGCACUAAGAGCAUAUGUGCUGGGACCCGAAAGAUGGUGAACUAUGCCUGUCCAGGUUGAAGCCAGGGGAAACCCUGGUGGAAGACCGCAGCGGUUCUGACGUGCAAAUCGAUCGUCGGAGGUGGGCAUAGGGGCGAAAGACCAAUCGAACCAUCUAGUAGCUGGUUCCCACCGAAGUUUCCCUCAGGAUAGCUGGUGCUCGAGCGUGAUUGGAGUCUCAUCUGGUAAAGUGAAUGAUCAGGGGUCUUGGGGUUGAAACGACCUCAACCUAUUCUCAAACUAUAAAUUGGUGAGAACUUGGGGUUUUUUGAACGAACCUCAUUGUAUGGAUCCAUGAGUGCCUAGUGGGCCCGUCCUGGUAAGCAGGACUGGCGCUGUGGGAUGAACCAAACGUCGGGCUAAGGUGGACAAAUCUAUGCUGAUCAGACACCAGAAAAGGCGUUGUUUGCUUAAAACAGCAGGACGGUGGCCAUGGAAGUCGGCAUCCGACUAAGGAGU
This 680-nucleotide ribosomal RNA is filed under the name Polycope pseudoinornata. RNAcentral's name for it is "eukaryotic LSU rRNA". It matches the Rfam family "Eukaryotic large subunit ribosomal RNA", at positions 668 to 1279 of the family's 3401-position model. Lineage: Eukaryota; Metazoa; Arthropoda; Ostracoda; Halocyprida; Polycopidae. The record is from RNAcentral.